Molecule: transfer RNA, 56 nt
Filed under: Steinernema carpocapsae
Lineage: Eukaryota; Metazoa; Nematoda; Chromadorea; Rhabditida; Steinernematidae
Also listed under: 1 other name
Description: tRNA-Pro
Source: RNAcentral
CAGUAUUUAGUUUAAAUAAAAUAUAAUAUUUGGGGUAUUAAGAUUUUAUAUACUGA